RNAcentral lists this transfer RNA (77 nucleotides) under Cohaesibacter sp. ES.047. Its description in RNAcentral is "tRNA_Arg_TCT". It matches the Rfam family "tRNA". Rfam says of the family: Transfer RNA (tRNA) molecules are approximately 80 nucleotides in length. Their secondary structure includes four short double-helical elements and three loops (D, anti-codon, and T loops). RNAcentral also lists the same sequence under 3 other names. The record is from RNAcentral. Lineage: Bacteria; Pseudomonadati; Pseudomonadota; Alphaproteobacteria; Hyphomicrobiales; Cohaesibacteraceae.
GGCCCCUUAGCUCAGUUGGAUAGAGCAGCUGACUUCUAAUCAGCAGGUCGAGGGUUCGAAUCCUUCAGGGGUCGCCA